CAAGUAAGCUGGACAGCCGCGUGAGCAGGCCGAAAGGCCGCGCAUGAGGAAAGUCCGGGCUCCACAGGGCAAGGAUAACGGGUAACGCCCGCCGGAGGCAACUCCAGGAAAAGUGCAACAGAGAGAUACCGCCUUGCCCCUCACGGGGGACGAGGUAAGGGUGGAAAGGCGAGGUAAGAGCUCACCCGAUGGCUGGAAACUGCCCAUCGCUGUAAACUCUAUCCGGAGCAACACCGUGGAGGGACACAAAGGCCGGCCCGGCCGUCCCGAGGAGGUGGCUGGAACACGCCGGCGACGGCGCGUCUAGAUAGAUGGCUGUCUUCAAUGACAGAACCCGGCUUACAGGUUUGCUUGCAAA
This 358-nucleotide RNase P RNA is filed under the name Intestinimonas massiliensis (ex Afouda et al. 2020). RNAcentral's name for it is "RNase P RNA component class A". It matches the Rfam family "Bacterial RNase P class A". From Rfam's summary of the family: Ribonuclease P (RNase P) is a ubiquitous endoribonuclease, found in archaea, bacteria and eukarya as well as chloroplasts and mitochondria. Lineage: Bacteria; Bacillati; Bacillota; Clostridia; Eubacteriales. The record is from RNAcentral.